UACAGAGGGUGCAAGCGUUAAUCGGAAUUACUGGGCGUAAAGGGUGCGUAGGUGGUUGUUUAAGUUAGAUGUGAAAGCCCCGGGCUUAACCUGGGAACUGCAUUUAAUACUGGACGACUAGAGUAGAGUAGAGGAAGGCGGAAUUUCCGGUGUAGCGGUGAAAUGCGUAGAUAUCGGAAAGAACACCAGUGGCGAAGGCGGCCUUCUGGGCUCAUACUGACACUGAGGCACGAAAGCGUGGGGAGCAAACAGG
This 253-nucleotide ribosomal RNA is filed under the name uncultured bacterium. RNAcentral describes it as "partial 16S ribosomal RNA". It matches the Rfam family "Bacterial small subunit ribosomal RNA", at positions 524 to 776 of the family's 1533-position model. The record is from RNAcentral.